GACGAACGCUGGCGGCGUGCUUAACACAUGCAAGUCGAACGGUGAAGCGCUUUCCUUUUUGGUUGGUGUGGAUGAGUGGCGAACGGGUGAGUAACACGUGAGUAACCUGCCCCCUUCUUCUGGAUAACCGCAUGAAAGUGUGGCUAAUACGGGAUAUUCUGCGCCUGCUGCAUGGUGGGUGUGGGAAAGAUUGUGCCUUUGGGUGUUUUCGGUGGGGGAUGGGCUCGCGGCCUAUCAGCUUGUUGGUGGGGUGAUGGCCUACCAAGGCGGUGACGGGUAGCCGGCCUGAGGGGGUGGACGGUCACACUGGGACUGGGACACGGCCCAGACUGCUACGGGAGGGAGCAGUGGGGGAUAUUGCACAAUGGGCGCAAGCCUGAUGCAGCGACGCCGGGUGAGGGAGGGAGGCGUUCGGGUUGUGAACCUCUUUCGCCAGUGAAGCAGGCCUGCUCCUUGUGGGUGGGUUGACGGUAGCUGGAUAAGAAGCGCCGGCUAACUACGUG
This 503-nucleotide ribosomal RNA is filed under the name uncultured bacterium. RNAcentral's name for it is "partial 16S ribosomal RNA". It matches the Rfam family "Bacterial small subunit ribosomal RNA", at positions 28 to 507 of the family's 1533-position model. The record is from RNAcentral.